Molecule: ribosomal RNA, 497 nt
Filed under: uncultured bacterium
Lineage: Bacteria
Description: bacterial SSU rRNA
Rfam family: Bacterial small subunit ribosomal RNA
Source: RNAcentral
CCCGAUGGAGGGGGAUAACUACUGGAAACGGUAGCUAAUACCGCAUAACGUCGCAAGACCAAAGAGGGGGACCUUCGGGCCUCUUGCCAUCGGAUGUGCCCAGAUGGGAUUAGCUAGUAGGUGGGGUAACGGCUCACCUAGGCGACGAUCCCUAGCUGGUCUGAGAGGAUGACCAGCCACACUGGAACUGAGACACGGUCCAGACUCCUACGGGAGGCAGCAGUGGGGAAUAUUGCACAAUGGGCGCAAGCCUGAUGCAACCAUGCCGCGUGUAUGAAGAAGGCCUUCGGGUUGUAAAGUACUUUCAGCGAGGAGGAAGGUGUUGAGGUUAAUAACCUCAGCAAUUGACGUUACUCGCAGAAGAAGCACCGGCUAACUCCGUGCCAGCAGCCGCGGUAAUACGGAGGGUGCAAGCGUUAAUCGGAAUUACUGGGCGUAAAGCGCACGCAGGCGGUCUGUCAAGUCUGAUGUGAAAUCCCCGGGCUCAACCUGGGAAC